CCUACGGGAGGCAGCAGUGGGGAAUAUUGCACAAUGGGGGAAACCCUGAUGCAGCGACGCCGCGUGAGUGAAGAAGUAAUUCGUUACGUAAAGCUCUAUCAGCAGGGAAGAAACACUGACCUUACGGUCAGCAGACGGUACCUGAGCAAGAAGCCCCGGCUAACUACGGGACAGCAGCCGCGGUAAUACGUGGGGGGCAAGCGUUAUCCGGGUUUACUGGGUGGAAAGGGAGCGUAGACGGUGCGCCAAGGCUGGAGGUGAAUGCCGCGGGUUAACUGCGGAACUGGUUUGGAAACUGGAGAACUUGAGUGCGGGAGAGGUAGGCGGAAUUCCUAGUGUAGCGGUGAAAUGCGUAGAUAUUAGGAGGAACACCGGUGGCGAAGGCGGCUUACUGGACCGUAACUGACGUUGAGGCUCGAAAGCGUGGGGAGCAAACAGGAUUAGAUACCCCAGUAGUC
This 458-nucleotide ribosomal RNA is filed under the name uncultured bacterium. RNAcentral's name for it is "partial 16S ribosomal RNA". It matches the Rfam family "Bacterial small subunit ribosomal RNA", at positions 338 to 795 of the family's 1533-position model. The record is from RNAcentral.